This 731-nucleotide long non-coding RNA is filed under the name Salvia miltiorrhiza (redroot sage). Its description in RNAcentral is "long non-coding RNA (SMIL_LNC012380)". The record is from RNAcentral. Lineage: Eukaryota; Viridiplantae; Streptophyta; Magnoliopsida; Lamiales; Lamiaceae.
GUUUUGAGUAUUUGCAAAGUUCGGAGUAUUAUGUACAAGAUUGGCGAAUUAAUCAACUUCAUGGAAGAUUUUGCCCCAAACGAGAUGCUUUGAGUAUUUGCAAAGUUCGGAGUCUAUUGUCAUUAUUUCUUUCAGUCUUGACAUCUCCAUCAGCCCGACUAAAGACUAUCCUCAGAGAGUUCGUCCAAAAAUCUGGCAGCAGACCAUCUAAGACCUUAUUUGAGUGAUGUUUACUUUGCACUUCAGGUGGUUCAAUUGGCUUUUAAUCAGAUUUCGGGUGCGCUCGGAUCUGGGCCAUUGUGAGUCCAACCUUUGAAGAUUGCUGGUUACAUUUUCUCUUUGCGCGCAUUUGAGCAGGCUAGAUGACUCAAUGGUGUUCUAUUAUGUUUGGCGAACAUGUGUUUCAACUCCACGAGCGCAUUCAACUUUAGCUUGGAGAGAAGUGAAUUUGUCGAUGCAUAGCCGACCUCAAUGCCAGAUGACUCAAUUCUUCGACAGGUCUUGGGUGCGCUCAGGCCUGGGAUUGUUUGAAUCUGGUUUGAGUGAGGUUGUUGUUAUGUUUGGCAUCUCACGAAGUUGGGAGAAUUCUGCACAACGGCUCGAGAAGAUUGAGUAUUUUCUUCUUGAUGCUUAAGCCAAGGAGAAUGAAGCCAUCGUCCGAAUUGCUUUGAUCAAGGAAGUGCUUGCUAUGAUAGAGAGGUGGAAGACAGAGAUGACGUUGUCCUUCAAGC